AACGAACGCUGGCGGCAGGCCUAACACAUGCAAGUCGAGCGAAGCCUUCGGGCUUAGCGGCGGACGGGUGAGUAACGCGUGGGAACGUGCCCUUUGCUACGGAAUAGCCCCGGGAAACUGGGAGUAAUACCGUAUGUGCCCUUCGGGGGAAAGAUUUAUCGGCAAAGGAUCGGCCCGCGUUGGAUUAGGUAGUUGGUGGGGUAAUGGCCUACCAAGCCGACGAUCCAUAGCUGGUUUGAGAGGAUGAUCAGCCACACUGGGACUGAGACACGGCCCAGACUCCUACGGGAGGCAGCAGUGAGGAAUCUUAGACGAUGGGGGAAACCCUGAUCUAGCCAUGCCGCGUGAUCGAUGAAGGCCUUAGGGUUGUAAAGAUCUUUCAGUGGGGAAGAUAAUGACUGUACCCACAGAAGAAGCCCCGGCUAACUCCGUGCCAGCCGCCGCGGUAA
This 449-nucleotide ribosomal RNA is filed under the name uncultured bacterium. Its description in RNAcentral is "partial 16S ribosomal RNA". It matches the Rfam family "Bacterial small subunit ribosomal RNA", at positions 29 to 523 of the family's 1533-position model. The record is from RNAcentral.